GGAGGCCGAACCCAAGAGCACAACUGCAUCUCAAUCCAGGGUGGAUUUGCACUGCCACUGCUGAGCCAUAGAAACUGCUGACAAACACUGAAUGACACGAGGAGCUCAGACCUCUUCUCCUGGCCCAAUCCUGCCGGGCUCAGCACUGCUGGGUGCGUUUGCAAGGAGAAAACAUCCCCCCCCCCCCCCCCAAAUCCCACAGAGCCGGGAGGAGGCGGAAGCAUCACCUUUGGAACGGGGAUGCGGAGGGUAACAGCAUCCCUGCUCUUUAGUUCCACAUCCAUGGAUGGGGAUGGAGCCAGGGUGGCUGCAGUGGGGUGGGGGGAUGCAUCCCUAUGGGCUUUGAAGGCAUCUUGUAGCGAGCUCUGUGUCGAUCCCUGUGUGUAAAUGCUGCACCUCUGUAUCCCCUGCACAUCGACGUGUGUGUGUCUUGAAGCUAGGACAGACCUCAGCACCCAUCAGGUAGCAACAGCCCCCCCCAACCUCUGCCGUGUCGUCGUGUGCGUGCAAAGCGGUUUCGUGUGUGGGUCCCGAGGAGGGGGACGCAAGAGGAACAAAGCCUUACUCGACCCAGUCCCAUCGGUAGUGUUCGUCCACUUGAAACCAAUAAAGUGAAACGCAUGGAAA
Long non-coding RNA from Pezoporus occidentalis (night parrot), 627 nucleotides. RefSeq lists it as uncharacterized. The record is from RefSeq and is a predicted model, not a curated record. Lineage: Eukaryota; Metazoa; Chordata; Aves; Psittaciformes; Psittacidae. The transcript is spliced from 2 exons.